UUGGAGAGUUUGAUCCUGGCUCAGGACGAACGCUGGCGGCGUGCUUAACACAUGCAAGUCGAACGGAAAGGUCUCUUCGGAGAUACUCGAGUGGCGAACGGGUGAGUAACACGUGGGCGAUCUGCCCUGCACUUCGGGAUAAGCCUGGGAAACUGGGUCUAAUACCGGAUAGGACCACGGGAUUCAUGUCCUGUGGUGGAAAGCUUUUGCGGUGUGGGAUGGGCCCGCGGCCUAUCAGCUUGUUGGUGGGGUAACGGCCUACCAAGGCGACGACGGGUAGCCGGCCUGAGAGGGUGUCCGGCCACACUGGGACUGAGAUACGGCCCAGACUCCUACGGGAGGCAGCAGUGGGGAAUAUUGCACAAUGGGCGCAAGCCUGAUGCAGCGACGCCGCGUGGGGGAUGACGGCCUUCGGGUUGUAAACCUCUUUCACCAUCGACGAAGGUUCGGGUUUUCUCGGAUUGACGGUAGGUGGAGAAGAAGCACCGGCCAACUACGUGCCAGCAGCCGCGGUAAUACGUAGGGUGCGAGCGUUGUCCGGAAUUACUGGGCGUAAAGAGCUCGUAGGUGGUUUGUCGCGUUGUUCGUGAAAUCUCACGGCUUAACUGUGAGCGUGCGGGCGAUACGGGCAGGCUAGAGUACUGCAGGGGAGACUGGAAUUCCUGGUGUAGCGGUGGAAUGCGCAGAUAUCAGGAGGAACACCGGUGGCGAAGGCGGGUCUCUGGGCAGUAACUGACGCUGAGGAGCGAAAGCGUGGGGAGCGAACAGGAUUAGAUACCCUGGUAGUCCACGCCGUAAACGGUGGGUACUAGGUGUGGGUUUCCUUCCUUGGGAUCCGUGCCGUAGCUAACGCAUUAAGUACCCCGCCUGGGGAGUACGGCCGCAAGGCUAAAACUCAAAGGAAUUGACGGGGGCCCGCACAAGCGGCGGAGCAUGUGGAUUAAUUCGAUGCAACGCGAAGAACCUUACCUGGGUUUGACAUGCACAGGACGCGUCUAGAGAUAGGCGUUCCCUU
This 1015-nucleotide ribosomal RNA is filed under the name Mycobacterium marinum. RNAcentral's name for it is "bacterial SSU rRNA". It matches the Rfam family "Bacterial small subunit ribosomal RNA", at positions 1 to 1019 of the family's 1533-position model. Lineage: Bacteria; Bacillati; Actinomycetota; Actinomycetes; Mycobacteriales; Mycobacteriaceae. The record is from RNAcentral.